RNAcentral lists this ribosomal RNA (543 nucleotides) under Fusarium sp. AB26. RNAcentral describes it as "eukaryotic LSU rRNA". The stretch from base 191 to 344 matches the Rfam family "5.8S ribosomal RNA". Lineage: Eukaryota; Fungi; Ascomycota; Sordariomycetes; Hypocreales; Nectriaceae. The record is from RNAcentral.
CGUAACAAGGUCUCCGUUGGUGAACCAGCGGAGGGAUCAUUACCGAGUUUACAACUCCCAAACCCCUGUGAACAUACCUUAUGUUGCCUCGGCGGAUCAGCCCGCGCCCCGUAAAAAGGGACGGCCCGCCGCAGGAACCCUAAACUCUGUUUUUAGUGGAACUUCUGAGUAUAAAAAACAAAUAAAUCAAAACUUUCAACAACGGAUCUCUUGGUUCUGGCAUCGAUGAAGAACGCAGCAAAAUGCGAUAAGUAAUGUGAAUUGCAGAAUUCAGUGAAUCAUCGAAUCUUUGAACGCACAUUGCGCCCGCCAGUAUUCUGGCGGGCAUGCCUGUUCGAGCGUCAUUUCAACCCUCAAGCCCAGCUUGGUGUUGGGAGCUGCAGUCCUGCUGCACUCCCCAAAUACAUUGGCGGUCACGUCGAGCUUCCAUAGCGUAGUAAUUUACAUAUCGUUACUGGUAAUCGUCGCGGCCACGCCGUUAAACCCCAACUUCUGAAUGUUGACCUCGGAUCAGGUAGGAAUACCCGCUGAACUUAAGCAUAU